RNAcentral lists this ribosomal RNA (650 nucleotides) under Hypoxylon investiens. Its description in RNAcentral is "eukaryotic LSU rRNA". The stretch from base 287 to 440 matches the Rfam family "5.8S ribosomal RNA". Lineage: Eukaryota; Fungi; Ascomycota; Sordariomycetes; Xylariales; Hypoxylaceae. The record is from RNAcentral.
AAAGAUGAUCUGGAGGUAUUAACUCCAACCCUUUGUGACCUUACCGUCGUUGCCUCGGCGUGAGCUACGGCUACCCGGGAGCUACCCUGGAGCUAUCCUAGAGUUACCCUAUAGCUACCCUGCAGCUACCCUAUACUUACCCUAUAGCUACCCUGCAGCUACCCUAUAGUUAGUUACCCUGGAGUUACCCUGGAGCUACCCUGUAGCCGGCUUAUGGCCCGCCGAAGGACAGCUAAACUCUUGUUUUUACCACUGUUUCUCUGAAUUACAAACUGAAAUAAGUUAAAACUUUCAACAACGGAUCUCUUGGUUCUGGCAUCGAUGAAGAACGCAGCGAAAUGCGAUAAGUAAUGUGAAUUGCAGAAUUCAGUGAAUCAUCGAAUCUUUGAACGCACAUUGCGCCCAUUAGUAUUCUAGUGGGCAUGCCUAUUCGAGCGUCAUUUCGACCCCUAAGCCCCUGUUGCUUAGCGUUGGGAAUCUACAGCGUAGUUCCUCAAAAUUAGUGGCGGAGUUAGGGUACACUCUCAGCGUAGUAAUUUCUCUCGCUCGUGUGGUGGCCUUGGCUGCUAGCCGUUAAAACCCCUAUAAUUUCUAGUGGUUGACCUCGGAUUAGGUAGGAAUACCCGCUGAACUUAAGCAUAUCAAUAAGC